AGAACGAACGCUGGCGGCAGGCUUAACACAUGCAAGUCGAACGCCCCGCAAGGGGAGUGGCAGACGGGUGAGUAACACGUGGGAACAUACCCUUCGGUACGGAACAACUCGGGAAACGCGAGCUAAUACCGUAUACGCCUUGGCGGGGAAAGAUUUAUCGCCGAAGGAUUGGCCCGCGUCCGAUUAGCUAGUUGGUGAGGUAAUGGCUCACCAAGGCGACGAUCGGUAGCU
This 231-nucleotide ribosomal RNA is filed under the name uncultured bacterium. RNAcentral describes it as "partial small subunit ribosomal RNA". It matches the Rfam family "Bacterial small subunit ribosomal RNA", at positions 26 to 288 of the family's 1533-position model. The record is from RNAcentral.